CUCGGUGUGGCGCAGUUGGCAGCGCGCGUGCUUUGGGAGCAUGAGGCCGUCCGUUCGAUCCGGACCACCGAGACCA
RNAcentral lists this transfer RNA (76 nucleotides) under Rhizobacter gummiphilus. RNAcentral describes it as "tRNA-Pro". It matches the Rfam family "tRNA". From Rfam's summary of the family: Transfer RNA (tRNA) molecules are approximately 80 nucleotides in length. Their secondary structure includes four short double-helical elements and three loops (D, anti-codon, and T loops). Lineage: Bacteria; Pseudomonadati; Pseudomonadota; Betaproteobacteria; Burkholderiales; Sphaerotilaceae. RNAcentral also lists the same sequence under 1 other name. The record is from RNAcentral.